CGUGUAGGCGGCCUCUUAAGUCUGAUGUGAAAGCCCGGGGCUUACCCCCGGAAGCGCAUUGGAAACUGGGAGGCUGGAGUACCGGAGAGGAAGGUGGAAUUCCUGGUGUAGCGGUGAAAUGCGUAGAUAUCAGGAGGAACACCGGUGGCGAAGGCGGCCUUCUGGACGGAUACUGACGCUGAGACGCGAAAGCGUGGGGAGCAAACAGGAUUAGAUACCCUGGUAGUCCACGCUGUAAACGAUGGGCACUAGGUGUUCGGGGUAUUGACCCCCUGAGUGCCGCAGCUAACGCAUUAAGUGCCCCGCCUGGGGACUACGGCCGCAAGGUUAA
Molecule: ribosomal RNA, 331 nt
Filed under: uncultured bacterium
Lineage: Bacteria
Description: bacterial SSU rRNA
Rfam family: Bacterial small subunit ribosomal RNA
Source: RNAcentral